This 72-nucleotide transfer RNA is filed under the name Ictidomys tridecemlineatus (thirteen-lined ground squirrel). RNAcentral's name for it is "Spermophilus tridecemlineatus (thirteen-lined ground squirrel) tRNA". It matches the Rfam family "tRNA". Rfam says of the family: Transfer RNA (tRNA) molecules are approximately 80 nucleotides in length. Their secondary structure includes four short double-helical elements and three loops (D, anti-codon, and T loops). Further hydrogen bonds mediate the characteristic L-shaped molecular structure. tRNAs have two regions of fundamental functional importance: the anti-codon, which is responsible for specific mRNA codon recognition, and the 3' end, to which the tRNAs corresponding amino acid is attached (by aminoacyl-tRNA synthetases). tRNAs cope with the degeneracy of the genetic code in two manners: having more than one tRNA (with a specific anti-codon) for a particular amino acid; and 'wobble' base-pairing, i.e. permitting non-standard base-pairing at the 3rd anti-codon position. The record is from Rfam by way of RNAcentral. Lineage: Eukaryota; Metazoa; Chordata; Mammalia; Rodentia; Sciuridae.
AGAGAUGUAGCUCAAUGGUAGAGCACUUGCCUAAUAUGUACAAGACCCUGGGUUCAAUCCCCAGUAUUUCAA